Molecule: ribosomal RNA, 388 nt
Filed under: uncultured bacterium
Lineage: Bacteria
Description: partial 16S ribosomal RNA
Rfam family: Bacterial small subunit ribosomal RNA
Source: RNAcentral
AUACGUAGGUGGCAAGCGUUAUCCGGAUUUAUUGGGCGUAAAGGGUCCGCAGGCGGUCUGUUUAGUCUGAGGUGAAAGCGUUGAGCUCAACUCAAUCAAGCCUUAGAUACUGGCAGACUGGAGUACAGAAGAGGGCUAUGGAAUUCCAUGUGUAGUGGUAAAAUGCGUAGAUAUAUGGAGGAACACCAGAGGCGAAGGCGGUAGCCUGGUCUGUAACUGACGCUCAGGGACGAAAGCGUGGGGAGCAAAUAGGAUUAGAUACCCUAGUAGUCCACGCCCUAAACGAUGAUUACUAAAUGUUGGGGUAACUCAGUGUUGUAGCUAACGCAAUAAGUAAUCCGCCUGGGGAGUAUGCACGCAAGUGUGAAACUCAAAGGAAUUGACGGGG